Molecule: ribosomal RNA, 787 nt
Filed under: Priestia megaterium
Lineage: Bacteria; Bacillati; Bacillota; Bacilli; Caryophanales; Bacillaceae
Description: bacterial SSU rRNA
Rfam family: Bacterial small subunit ribosomal RNA
Source: RNAcentral
GAAAACGCUGGCGGCGUGCCUACACAUGCAGUCGAGCGAACUGAUUGGAAGCUUGCUUCUAUGACGUUAGCGGCGGACGGGUGAGUAACUCGUGGGCAACCUGCCUGUAAGACUGGGAUAACUUCGGGAAACCGAAGCUAAUACCGGAUAGGAUCUUCUCCUUCAUGGGAGAUGAUUGAAAGAUGGUUUCGGCUAUCACUUACAGAUGGGCCCGCGGUGCAUUAGCUAGUUGGUGAGGUAACGGCUCACCAAGGCAACGAUGCAUAGCCGACCUGAGAGGGUGAUCGGCCACACUGGGACUGAGACACGGCCCACACUCCUACGGGAGGCAGCAGUAGGGAAUCUUCCGCAAUGGACGAAAGUCUGACGGAGCAACGCCGCGUGAGUGAUGAAGGCUUUCGGGUCGUAAAACUCUGUUGUUAGGGAAGAACAAGUACGAGAGUAACUGCUCGUACCUUGACGGUACCUAACCAAAAGGCCACGGCUAACUACGUGCCAGCAGCCGCGGUAAUACGUAAGUGGCAAGCGUUAUCCGGAAUUAUUGGGCGUAAAAGCGCGCGCAGGCGGGUUUCUUAAGUCUGAUGUGAAAUCCCACGGCUCAACCGUGGAGGGUCAUUGGAAACUGGGGGAACUUGAGUGCAAAGGAGAAAAGCGGAAUUCCACGUGUAGCGGAGGAAAUGCGUACAGAUGGGGAGAACACCUUUGGCGACGCGGGCUUCUUGGUCUGUACUGACACUGAGGCCCGAAAGCGUGGGGACCAACAGGAUUAAAUCCCCUGGUAAUCACU